CCAGGUGGAUCCUAUUGUAACUGAUUAGAAAGCGUCUGGCCUCUCUCCAUCUUCACCGUCAUGUGGAAUGCUCUUCCUUCGUGCUAACGGAAACCCUCUUUGAAGUAGGUUAAGUAAACUCACAGGGGGUUGUUAGGGUUUUUUUCGAACACUCAUAGCCCUUGAUUUGGAUUCGAUUUGUCUCCGGUGAUUCUCUCCUCGUACUCUGGUCAUCUUCUAAUUGCGUGGUGUUAAUUAGUUGAAUUGAAGUGGGUUGUUGGCGAUUUUGGUUGAAAACAUAGUGUAGCGCUAGGGUUUCUAAGUAUUGUAUAGAUUGAUAUAGCAGUAAUAGUUGAUUUGUGAGGGAUGGAAGAAACGAAACAUGAAUUAAAGAGGAGUCACCGGGAACGUGACAGGGACAAAGAAAAGGAGAGAAAUGGAGAGAGACAUAGGGAUAAGAGAGACAGGGAAAGUAGGCGUUCUGAGAGAGAGAAAAGCACUGAUUCUGAUGACAAGUAUGAUAAAGAGAAAGAGAGAGAUAAGCAUAGAGACAGGGAUAAAGACAGAAGGAACAGGGAUGAGGGAAAAGAUAGAAGCAGUGAUAGGAAGAGAGAUAGAGACAGGGAUAGAGAGAAGGAGAGGGAGAAAGAGAAAGAGAAAGAGAAAGAGAAAGAAAAAGAAAGAGAGGAGAAGAGGGAGAAGGCAAGGGAGAAAGAACGAGAGAGGGAAAGAGAAAGAGAGAAGAGGGAGCGUGACCGUGAAGAGAGAGAGAGAGAAAGGGAUAGAGAAAGGGAGAGGAGGGAACGAGACAGGGAAGAACGAGAUAGGGAGAGAGAUAGAGAGAGGGAGAAGAGAGAGCGUGAGAGAGAUAGAGAGAGGGAAAAAGAGAGGGAGAGGAGAUUGAGGGACCGGGAGAAGCGUCGAAAAGUUGAUAGUGAUGAUAGUGAUGAAGACAAGGAACGUGAUAGAAAGCGGCGUAGGAGAGAUGAUGAUGAUUACAAGGAGAGAGUGCGUGAACAGAGCAUUAGAUCAAACAGGCAUCGGGAUGACAGUGAAGAUAGCCCAAGAAAAAGAGUUGUUGAGGAUGAUUUUGACAAGAAAGAGAAGAAAACCCGAGAAGAAGAGCUAGAAGAUGAACAGCGGAAAUUGGAUGAGGAAAUGGAAAAGCGGAGGAGGAGAGUUCAGGAGUGGCAAGAGUUGAAGAGGAAGAAGGAAGAAUCUGAGAGAGAAAAGCGUGGGGAAGAGAACGUUGGUGAACCCAAGGCUGGCAGGAACUGGACCCUUGACGGAGAAGAUUCUGAUGAUGAAGAAGUACCCCAAACUGGGAAAUUUGAGACAGACACGGAUGCAGACGAAGAUGCUAAUCCUUCUGAUAAACAGGUUGGAGAUGCAAUGGUGGUAGAGUCUGAGAGUGGGAAUGCUUCACCUGUUUUACAAAAUGGGGAUGCUGGUGAGGAAGAAAUCGAUCCACUUGACGCUUUUAUGAACUCUAUGGUUUUACCUGAAGUUGAGAAGCUAAACACUGCUGUGGAAUUGUCAAUGGUGGAUGCUAAUGGGGUGGACCCAAAGAAGAAGGAUCGAAAGGGUGAUAGGAUUAAUGGUGAGCGGCCAAAGAAAGGUUCAAAUAAGUCUCUUGGGAGAAUAAUUCCUGGUGAAGAUUCUGAUUCAGAUUAUGAGGACCUUGAGAAUGAUGAGGAAACAGUUGAAGAUGAAGACGAUGAUGAAUUUAUUAAGAGAGUAAAAAAGACAAAAGCUGAGAAAUUGUCUAUUGUUGAUCACUCAAAGAUUGAUUACAAACCUUUCAGGAAAAAUUUCUAUAUUGAAGUGAAGGAAAUUUCAAGAAUGACUCCUGAAGAGGUUGUUGCACUCAGGAAACAACUGGAACUGAAAGUACAUGGAAAGGAUGUCCCAAAACCAAUCAAAACCUGGCACCAAACUGGACUUACAAGCAAAAUUAUGGAGACGAUAAAGAAGCUUAACUUUGAAAAGCCUAUGCCAAUCCAAGCUCAGGCAUUACCAGUAAUUAUGAGUGGGCGAGAUUGCAUAGGCGUUGCAAAAACAGGGUCUGGAAAGACCCUUGCCUUUGUGCUGCCGAUGUUGAGGCAUAUCAAGGACCAGCCACCUGUGAUAGCUGGCGAUGGGCCAAUUGGACUUAUAAUGGCUCCUACAAGGGAGCUUGUCCAGCAGAUCCACAGUGAUAUCAAGAAGUUUUCCAAGGUAAUGGGAAUCAGAUGUGUGCCUGUCUAUGGUGGUUCUGGUGUUGCUCAACAAAUUAGUGAAUUAAAACGAGGGACUGAGAUUGUUGUCUGUACUCCAGGUCGAAUGAUUGAUAUACUUUGCACAAGCGGAGGGAAAAUUACCAAUUUGAGAAGAGUCACCUAUUUGGUCAUGGAUGAAGCUGAUAGAAUGUUUGACAUGGGUUUUGAGCCUCAGAUCACUCGAAUUGUUCAAAAUAUUAGGCCAGAUCGUCAAACUGUACUAUUUUCUGCUACCUUCCCUCGUCAGGUUGAAAUUUUGGCUCGCAAAGUUUUGGGCAAACCUGUGGAGAUACAAGUUGGCGGGAGAAGUGUUGUAAACAAAGAUAUAGCACAGUUGGUUGAAGUGAGGCCAGAAAGUGAGAGAUUUUUAAGACUGUUAGAACUACUAGGUGAAUGGUAUGAGAAGGGAAAAAUUUUGAUAUUUGUCCACUCACAGGAAAAAUGUGAUGUUUUGUUUAAGGAUAUGCUUAGACAUGGUUAUCCAUGUCUUUCACUUCACGGGGCCAAGGAUCAGACAGACCGUGAAUCCACCAUUUCUGAUUUCAAGAGCAAUGUCUGCAAUUUGUUGAUUGCAACUAGUGUUGCAGCUAGAGGUUUAGAUGUGAAGGAGCUUGAAUUAGUGAUCAACUUUGAUGCUCCAAACCACUAUGAGGAUUAUGUACACCGUGUUGGUAGGACAGGCCGAGCUGGUCGAAAAGGCUGUGCCAUUACAUUUAUCUCCGAGGAGGAUGCAAGAUAUGCACCAGAUCUUGUAAAGGCAUUGGAACUCUCCGAGCAAGUUGUUCCUGAUGACCUGAAAGCUCUUGCUGAUAGUUUCAUGGCAAAAGUGAAUCAGGGACUUGAGCAAGCUCAUGGAACGGGUUACGGUGGAAGUGGUUUUAAAUUUAAUGAAGAGGAGGAUGAGAAGAGGAAAGCUGCAAAGAAAGCACAGGCAAAAGAAUAUGGAUUUGAGGAAGACAAGUCAGAUUCAGAAGAUGAAGAUGAAGGGGUGCGGAAGGCAGGUGGUGACAUCUCGCAACAAGAUGCGCUGGCUAAGAUUGCUGCUAUUGCUGCUGCCUCCAAAGCCUCGGCUUCAAUGCCAACUCCUAUCUCGUCUGUGCAAAUGCUUCCCAGUGCUGGACUACCCAUUGCUCUGCCGGGUGUUCUUGGCCUACCGAUACCUGGAGCAGCGCCAGUUGUUCCUGCUACUGGGAUGUCUGGGGUGCCCAAUGAUGGGGCAGCUCGGGCAGCGGCAUUGGCAGCUGCCAUCAACCUGCAGCAUAAUUUGGCGAAGAUUCAAGCUGAUGCAAUGCCUGAACACUAUGAAGCAGAACUGGAGAUCAAUGAUUUUCCCCAGAAUGCUCGAUGGAAAGUUACUCACAAGGAAACGUUGGGUCCGAUUUCGGAAUGGACCGGAGCUGCCAUUACCACCAGGGGUCAAUAUUUUCCACCAAGCCGGGCCACAGGACCAGGGGAACGCAAACUCUACUUGUUUAUUGAGGGCCCUACUGAACAGUCUGUCAAGAGAGCUAAAGCAGAAUUAAAACGUGUUUUGGAAGACUUCACAAAUCAGGCAUUAUCACUUCCAGGUGGAGCUCAACCAGGCAGAUACUCAGUUGUAUAAGUGUAAGGACCAAAUUUUGACUCAGACUAUAGGCUUGUCUUUGUUUGUCUAUGUUGUACUUGAGUUGAUUAUCCAGCUGGUUUAUGAUUCUUGCUCAAAUUAAAUUUUUUAGUUUCUACAUUGGAUGGUCAUUUGGUUGUCAAUGUCUUUCAUAUUUUCUGGCGGGCUUUUACCUGUGGCUUGUGGAAUAUGCUUGUAUUAUUGUUAAAUUCCUGUCAAUUUCCACAACUCAAUGCCGGCUUUAAUUUUUUUUUUUUUUUUUCUUUUCCCUCUUUUGUUUAUCCUUCACCCACGGCUGGAGGGGAUUUAAACCUAUGCUGGCAUGUUCAAUGUACUCUGCCCAUUACCUUAGCUAUCAUGGCUGUCAAAGAGAUGGCGAUCAUCUGGUCUGGUGGGAAGAUAUCUGAACUCUGAAGCCAACUUUUGCUUUUGGCAUGCAGGAAUUGCCAUGAUUUUCCUUUUUCGUUUUUCCUCCGUCGACAAGGAUAGCUGUGCCAAUGUAAUGUCUGCGAGCUGAAAUGAACAAUCUCCUUUAUGUUAAAAGUACAGCAGAUAAUUGCCAAAUUGUCCUA
RNA transcript from Pistacia vera, 4412 nucleotides. It is a transcript of the gene named DEAD-box ATP-dependent RNA helicase 42, with no coding region annotated. The transcript has 4 exons. The record is from RefSeq and is a predicted model, not a curated record. NCBI's taxonomy places the organism in Eukaryota, Viridiplantae, Streptophyta, Magnoliopsida, Sapindales, Anacardiaceae.